RNAcentral lists this ribosomal RNA (253 nucleotides) under uncultured bacterium. Its description in RNAcentral is "partial 16S ribosomal RNA". It matches the Rfam family "Bacterial small subunit ribosomal RNA", at positions 524 to 776 of the family's 1533-position model. The record is from RNAcentral.
UACGUAGGGUGCAAGCGUUGUCCGGAAUUAUUGGGCGUAAAGAGCGUGUAGGCGGCCUCGUAAGUCCGCUGUGAAAGUCCAGGGCUCAACCCUGGAAAGCCGGUGGAUACUGCGAGGCUAGAGUCCGGAAGGGGCGAGUGGAAUUCCUGGUGUAGCGGUGAAAUGCGCAGAUAUCAGGAGGAACACCAAUAGCGAAGGCAGCUCGCUGGGACGGUACUGACGCUAAGGCGCGAAAGCGUGGGGAGCGAACAGG